UAGUUUAUCAUGUUCCUCACGGCGCCCCACC
Molecule: non-coding RNA, 31 nt
Filed under: Mus musculus (house mouse)
Lineage: Eukaryota; Metazoa; Chordata; Mammalia; Rodentia; Muridae
Source: RNAcentral